AGUGAACGCUGGCGGUAGGCCUAACACAUGCAAGUCGAACGGCAGCACAGUAAGAGCUUGCUCUUACGGGUGGCGAGUGGCGGACGGGUGAGGAAUACAUCGGAAUCUACUUUUUCGUGGGGGAUAACGUAGGGAAACUUACGCUAAUACCGCAUACGACCUACGGGUGAAAGCAGGGGAUCUUCGGACCUUGCGCGAUUGAAUGAGCCGAUGUCGGAUUAGCUAGUUGGCGGGGUAAAGGCCCACCAAGGCGACGAUCCGUAGCUGGUCUGAGAGGAUGAUCAGCCACACGGGAACUGAGACACGGUCCAGACUCCUACGGGAGGCAGCAGUGGGGAAUAUUGGCCAAUGGGCGCAAGCCUGAUCCAGCCAUACCGCGUGGGUGAAGAAGGCCUUCGGGUUGUAAAGCCCUUUUGUUGGGAAAGAAAAGCAGCAGGUUAAUACCCCGCUGUUCUGACGGUACCCAAAGAAUAAGCACCGGCUAACUUCGUG
This 492-nucleotide ribosomal RNA is filed under the name uncultured bacterium. Its description in RNAcentral is "partial 16S ribosomal RNA". It matches the Rfam family "Bacterial small subunit ribosomal RNA", at positions 29 to 507 of the family's 1533-position model. The record is from RNAcentral.